CCCUUGUGGAGGAGGACGCCGAAGGUGGGGCUAAUGACUGGGGUGAAGUCGUAACAAGGUAGCCGUACCGGAAGGUGCGGCUGGAUCACCUCCUAACAGGGAGACAACAAAAUGUAAAUAUUAAUUUUGUCACCUUAGGUCGAUCGGUAUCUCAGAUUCUUAUUUUUUAAGAAUUUCAGUUUCUAAGUUUUUUCUAGGUCACACCCAUCACUUUUUCCUGGGCCAUUAGCUCAGGUGGUUAGAGCGCACCCCUGAUAAGGGUGAGGUCCCUGGUUCAAGUCCAGGAUGGCCCAUAUCUCUAUGUUGGGGGUAUAGCUCAGUUGGUAGAGCGCCUGCUUUGCAAGCAGGAUGUCAGCGGUUCGAGUCCGCUUACCUCCACUGAAUACCACCUCUUACAUAUUUUUAAAGAGGGAAAUUGUUAUGAGUUGUGUCCUAAUUUGCUCUGAGCGAAUCUAGCUUCCUAUUUUUAUUCAAUAAAUAAGAUGCUGGACUCAUUGAAUUUUUUUUCAUUGUUUUCAGAGAACCUUGACAACUGCAUAGAUUAUUUUGAAGACAAUAAGCAUCUUUAAUGAUGCAGAUUUAUUAUUUGUGCGAAUGCAUUAAAUAACAAUUCUAUUAAGCUGAUGCUUCAAUUAUUGAAGUUAUUGGUCAAGCUACAAAGGGCUCACGGAGGAUACCUAGGCACACAGAG
This 691-nucleotide unclassified non-coding RNA is filed under the name uncultured Prochlorococcus sp. RNAcentral describes it as "partial may contain 16S ribosomal RNA, 16S-23S ribosomal RNA intergenic spacer, and 23S ribosomal RNA". The stretch from base 1 to 96 matches the Rfam family "Bacterial small subunit ribosomal RNA", at positions 1438 to 1533 of the family's 1533-position model. Lineage: Bacteria; Bacillati; Cyanobacteriota; Cyanophyceae; Synechococcales; Prochlorococcaceae. The record is from RNAcentral.